Molecule: ribosomal RNA, 348 nt
Filed under: uncultured bacterium
Lineage: Bacteria
Description: bacterial SSU rRNA
Rfam family: Bacterial small subunit ribosomal RNA
Source: RNAcentral
AAAGGGAGAUUAAUACCCCAUGUGAUCGCAAGAUUAAAGGCGGCCAUCUUUUGAUGGCUGUCGCUUCGGGAUGGGCUCGCGGCCUAUCAGCUAGUUGGUGAGGUAACUGCUUACCAAGGCGAUGACGGGUAGCUGGUCUGAGAGGACGACCAGUCACACUGGAACUGAGACACGGUCCAGACACCUACGGGUGGCAGCAGUCGAGAAUCAUUCGCAAUGGGCGAAAGCCUGACGGUGCGACGCCGCGUGGAGGAUGAAGGCCCUAGGGUCGUAAACUCCUGUCAUCAGGGAGUAAUGGCUCACGUAGUAACUGCCGUGAGCAGUGAUAGUACUGAAGAGGAAGGGACG